GAGGGCUGGAACGUGCAGCCUGACACCUGCACCCUAGAAGUUUGUACACGGACAAGGCAGCCGCUCUUUCUUCUCAGCAGGGGCUUGGGAAACUCCUCCCUUCUCAACUCUCUCCCUCUCUAUAAGCUUAAUCAAGGCCACUGAGCUGAAGCCCCUGCAAAGUGAAAGUAACCUGCCUUGCCCGUAGUAGUUUUGCAUAGCUACGUGAGACAACUGCUUCUCACCGCCCCCGCCAUCCUCGCUUCCCCCUUCCUCCCUAUCCCCCCCUCCACCCCGUGCUGCUGGCUGGGGUGUUAGGGUGAAUCACUGUCCGACUCAGAUCCCUCUUGCCCAUUUUAGAGAAAGAAAGCUGAGGUAAAGAAAAGGGAGGUGAAAUUGAGGGAGUAAAGACACCAUAAUCUUGACAUGUGGCAAAGGAAUUGAAUUUGUAACUUUGUUUCAGCCAAAUCUAUUACAUUCCAGAAACUGAGCUACCAUGACUGCUAAGUAGGUACAUUUCAGUAUAUAUAUAGGACAUAUAGGGUCCCACACCCUUCUUCUCAAGUUCAGAUAAGUACGUUAACACAGCCAGGAACUGGAAACCAACAGAGAUGGGAUUUGAAGCCUGCUAUUCUGAGGCUGGAUUCUGGAAGUUUCCUCCAUCAGUGAACUACUGUCAAAGGGAAGGGCCCCACACACAAGGUAGCUGGAAGCAAGGAUUCCUCUGUGGAGCUGAAGGUGCAUGGGAAAACCCCCACCCAGGACAGCCAUCCAGUUUCCCUCAUGACUGAGUACUUGGUAGCCAGAGAAUGAUGGGCCCACUGCUUAGUUCUUAAAACUGCAGCAGACAGCAACACACCCCCACCUUGUCAACAACGUUUCAAUGAAAGUCACAGCCACAGGGUUCAGAGGUUCAGUCCAGUAUCAUCAAGGAGAGAACAUG
Mus musculus (house mouse) is the source of this 922-nucleotide long non-coding RNA. RefSeq annotates it as predicted gene, 31342. The record is from RefSeq and is a predicted model, not a curated record. NCBI's taxonomy places the organism in Eukaryota, Metazoa, Chordata, Mammalia, Rodentia, Muridae. The transcript has 3 exons.